GACGAACGCUGGCGGCGUGCUUAACACAUGCAAGUCGAACGGAAAGGCCCUGCUUUUGUGGGGUGCUCGAGUGGCGAACGGGUGAGUAACACGUGAGUAACCUGCCCUUGACUUUGGGAUAACUUCAGGAAACUGGGGCUAAUACCGGAUAGGAGCUCCUGCUGCAUGGUGGGGGUUGGAAAGUUUCGGCGGUUGGGGAUGGACUCGCGGCUUAUCAGCUUGUUGGUGGGGUAGUGGCUUACCAAGGCUUUGACGGGUAGCCGGCCUGAGAGGGUGACCGGCCACAUUGGGACUGAGAGACGGACCAGACUCGUACGGGAGGCAGCAGUGGGGAAUAUUGCACAAUGGGCGGAAGCCUGAUGCAGCAACGCCGCGUGCGGGAUGACGGCCUUCGGGUUGUAAACCGCUUUCGCCUGUGACGAAGAGGGAGUGACGGUAAUGGGUAAAGAAGCACCGGCUAACUACGUG
Molecule: ribosomal RNA, 468 nt
Filed under: uncultured bacterium
Lineage: Bacteria
Description: partial 16S ribosomal RNA
Rfam family: Bacterial small subunit ribosomal RNA
Source: RNAcentral